This 507-nucleotide ribosomal RNA is filed under the name Triticum aestivum (bread wheat). RNAcentral describes it as "partial small subunit ribosomal RNA". The record is from RNAcentral. Lineage: Eukaryota; Viridiplantae; Streptophyta; Magnoliopsida; Poales; Poaceae.
AUGUUUCGCUUCGUGAAGUUAAUCCUCAUUACAUAUCUCUUUCUUGAACUUCAGUUUCUUCUAUUGAUUGGGAUUAGGAAAGGGAAACUAAAUUUUCUGCUCAUGACUUGUAAGCUGCAGCAAAAGCUUGCAAUUUCUAAUUUCCUAGCCAACCAGGUGCAUUUGUUUCAUGCCUUUCCUAAACUUUUUUAUUUAACUAGCUGUGUUCUUAAUUUUUGUCAUCUCGUAUCAUAUAUUUGUGUACUAGGCGAUGCAUUGUUCUUGGUUUCUCCGUGCGUUCAUUUUGCUGAUGAUGAGGUGUGUACACAAGACAGUGUGGCUCCUCAAUUUAUACACAUGAUCAUAAAUUGUUGGAUUGAAUUGUUGCCUUAUAUGUCAAGUGCUUGUUGUGAGUUCCAAACUUACAGUAGAGAUGGCGUAUUAGCUACCCGAUCUAGAGCCGAAGCUUUGUUGGCGCACGGUAUUUUUUGUAUGGUUAUUGAUUUGCUAGCAUAUAUUCUAGACUAA